GAUCAUGGCUCAGAGUGAACGCUGGCGGCGUGCUUAACACAUGCAAGUCGAACGGAUGAAUAAGCUUGCUUAUUUCGUUAGUGGCGCACGGGUGAGUAAUGUAUAGCUAACCUGCCCUUUAGUGGGGGACAACAGUUGGAAACGACUGCUAAUACCCCAUAUUCCUUCUUAUCAUAAGGUAAGUUGGGAAAGAUUUAUUGCUAAAGGAUGGGGCUUUAUGGUAUCAGCUAGUUGGUGGGGUAACGGCCUACCAAGGCUAUGACGCCUACCUGGUCUGAGAGGACGAUCAGCCACACUGGGACUGAGACACGGCCCAGACUCCUACGGGAGGCAGCAGUGGGGAAUUUUGGACAAUGGGCGCAAGCCUGAUCCAGCCAUGCCGCGUGCGGGAAGAAGGCCUUCGGGUUGUAAACCGCUUUUGUCAGGGAAGAAAUCUUCUGGGCUAAUACCUCGGGAGGAUGACGGUACCUGAAGAAUAAGCACCGGCUAACUACGUG
Molecule: ribosomal RNA, 497 nt
Filed under: uncultured bacterium
Lineage: Bacteria
Description: bacterial SSU rRNA
Rfam family: Bacterial small subunit ribosomal RNA
Source: RNAcentral